RNAcentral lists this ribosomal RNA (1467 nucleotides) under Escherichia coli. Its description in RNAcentral is "partial 23S ribosomal RNA". It matches the Rfam family "Bacterial large subunit ribosomal RNA", at positions 419 to 1873 of the family's 2925-position model. Lineage: Bacteria; Pseudomonadati; Pseudomonadota; Gammaproteobacteria; Enterobacterales; Enterobacteriaceae. The record is from RNAcentral.
GGGACACGUGGUAUCCUGUCUGAAUAUGGGGGGACCAUCCUCCAAGGCUAAAUACUCCUGACUGACCGAUAGUGAACCAGUACCGUGAGGGAAAGGCGAAAAGAACCCCGGCGAGGGGAGUGAAAAAGAACCUGAAACCGUGUACGUACAAGCAGUGGGAGCCUCUUAAUGGGGUGACUGCGUACCUUUUGUAUAAUGGGUCAGCGACUUAUAUUCUGUAGCAAGGUUAACCGAAUAGGGGAGCCGAAGGGAAACCGAGUCUUAACUGGGCGUUAAGUUGCAGGGUAUAGACCCGAAACCCGGUGAUCUAGCCAUGGGCAGGUUGAAGGUUGGGUAACACUAACUGGAGGACCGAACCGACUAAUGUUGAAAAAUUAGCGGAUGACUUGUGGCUGGGGGUGAAAGGCCAAUCAAACCGGGAGAUAGCUGGUUCUCCCCGAAAGCUAUUUAGGUAGCGCCUCGUGAAUUCAUCUCCGGGGGUAGAGCACUGUUUCGGCAAGGGGGUCAUCCCGACUUACCAACCCGAUGCAAACUGCGAAUACCGGAGAAUGUUAUCACGGGAGACACACGGCGGGUGCUAACGUCCGUCGUGAAGAGGGAAACAACCCAGACCGCCAGCUAAGGUCCCAAAGUCAUGGUUAAGUGGGAAACGAUGUGGGAAGGCCCAGACAGCCAGGAUGUUGGCUUAGAAGCAGCCAUCAUUUAAAGAAAGCGUAAUAGCUCACUGGUCGAGUCGGCCUGCGCGGAAGAUGUAACGGGGCUAAACCAUGCACCGAAGCUGCGGCAGCGACACUAUGUGUUGUUGGGUAGGGGAGCGUUCUGUAAGCCUGCGAAGGUGUGCUGUGAGGCAUGCUGGAGGUAUCAGAAGUGCGAAUGCUGACAUAAGUAACGAUAAAGCGGGUGAAAAGCCCGCUCGCCGGAAGACCAAGGGUUCCUGUCCAACGUUAAUCGGGGCAGGGUGAGUCGACCCCUAAGGCGAGGCCGAAAGGCGUAGUCGAUGGGAAACAGGUUAAUAUUCCUGUACUUGGUGUUACUGCGAAGGGGGGACGGAGAAGGCUAUGUUGGCCGGGCGACGGUUGUCCCGGUUUAAGCGUGUAGGCUGGUUUUCCAGGCAAAUCCGGAAAACCAAGGCUGAGGCGUGAUGACGAGGCACUACGGUGCUGAAGCGACAAAUGCCCUGCUUCCAGGAAAAGCCUCUAAGCAUCAGGUAACAUCAAAUCGUACCCCAAACCGACACAGGUGGUCAGGUAGAGAAUACCAAGGCGCUUGAGAGAACUCGGGUGAAGGAACUAGGCAAAAUGGUGCCGUAACUUCGGGAGAAGGCACGCUGAUAUGUAGGUGAAGCGACUUGCUCGUGGAGCUGAAAUCAGUCGAAGAUACCAGCUGGCUGCAACUGUUUAUUAAAAACACAGCACUGUGCAAACACGAAAGUGGACGUAUACGGUGUGACGCCUGCCCGGUGCCGGA